AUUGAACGCUGGCGGCAGGCCUAACACAUGCAAGUCGAGCGGAUGAAGGGAGCUUGCUCCUGGAUUCAGCGGCGGACGGGAGAGUAAUGCCUAGGAAUCUGCCUGGUAGUGGGGGAUAACGUCCGGAAACGGGCGCUAAUACCGCAUACGUCCUGAGGGAGAAAGUGGGGGAUCUUCGGACCUCCCGCUAUCAGAUGAGCCUAGGUCGGAUUAGCUAGUUGGUGGGGUAAAGGCCUACCAAGGCGACGAUCCGUAACUGGUCUGAGAGGAUGAUCAGUCACACUGGAACUGAGACACGGUCCAGACUCCUACGGGAGGCAGCAGUGGGGAAUAUUGGACAAUGGGCGAAAGCCUGAUCCAGCCAUGCCGCGUGUGUGAAGAAGGUUUUCGGAUUGUAAAGCACUUUAAGUUGGGAGGAAGGGCAGUAAGUUAAUACCUUGCUGUUUUGACGUUACCAACAGAAUAAGCACCGGCUAACUUCGUG
This 484-nucleotide ribosomal RNA is filed under the name uncultured bacterium. RNAcentral's name for it is "partial 16S ribosomal RNA". It matches the Rfam family "Bacterial small subunit ribosomal RNA", at positions 30 to 507 of the family's 1533-position model. The record is from RNAcentral.